UACAGGCUUCUCGGCCGUGGCACCCAGCCGCGGGUGGGAAUUCCUCGGCAAGCAGCAGCCUCGGAUGCGGGACUAUGAAUUGCAACAGUGCGAGUGCUGCUAGGAAAUCCAGCUGGCUGCUAAGAGGUUUGUCUUUUUUAUUUUUUUCUUUCCUUUUUUUUCUAUUUUUUCUAUAUUCUUUUUUUCUGUUUGUUUGUUUGUUUUUUUGGUUUUUUUUCAGUGCAUUGUAAGAGCUUCAGUGCAGCUAAAGGCGCUGAGCUCUUGGCAGGAACACGGAGAAGGGACUGAAACAGCUUCUCACCUGGAGGUGCCACCAGCUCCUGAAUCCUCAGCCGUGAGCGAGCACUUCCCAGGUGCUCCCCAGCCCAGCCCGUGGCUGCUGCUCAGCCCACACCCCAAAAUCCCGGUGCUGCCCAGGGCUGGGUGCACGUUCUGGUUGCAGGGAGCAAGGACACGUCACCGCGGGGCUGAAACCCUCCAGCUGCUGCUUCUCCUCCCAGCUGCUGCUCCUGGCAGAGCCCAGUGCCCAUCCUGACAUCCCGCUCCCUUCGCAGAGACCUGCUGGAGCGGGCUCUCCUGGCCAGACCUGACACAGAGGUACACUCACCUCUGGGACCCAAAAUGGCUCCCUGGUGUGGUGGGGCUCUGGGCAGCCCCCGCUGGACCCCGACCCCCUGGGAGCAGAGGAUCCCUGUUGCCUUUGAGCUUUGCCAUCACCCGAGGAUGCUCACGCA
This is a long non-coding RNA of Grus americana (Whooping crane), 734 nucleotides long. RefSeq lists it as uncharacterized. Lineage: Eukaryota; Metazoa; Chordata; Aves; Gruiformes; Gruidae. The transcript is spliced from 3 exons. The record is from RefSeq and is a predicted model, not a curated record.